Molecule: long non-coding RNA, 358 nt
Organism: Panthera uncia (snow leopard)
Lineage: Eukaryota; Metazoa; Chordata; Mammalia; Carnivora; Felidae
Exons: 2
Source: RefSeq, a predicted model, not a curated record
CUUCCUCUCCCUCUUUUACGAGAACGCUUGUGAUGGCACUUAAGGGCCACGCAAUAACCCAGUAUACUUUCUCCAUCUCAAGAUCCUCUUCUUAAGUCCCACCUGUGAUGAUCCGUCUUCCAAAUAAGCGAAUGCAACCUUUCAAGUUUGCCUGUCCCUAAACAGUGAAAACUAACCAUGGAAAACCCAGCGCUCAGAGCAUGAGGCAGAUCUCAGUCUUCUCUGCCUCAGGUACAUAAAGCAGAGUCAGUUUCAGACUCUGUGUUGCAAAAGAGAGCAUGCCACAAGAAAUGAUGGUUCCUGGGAUAGCGUGUCACAGACACAGACCUACCUGCUCUAAGAGACAUCUACAUUUGGC